RNAcentral lists this ribosomal RNA (403 nucleotides) under uncultured bacterium. RNAcentral describes it as "partial 16S ribosomal RNA". It matches the Rfam family "Bacterial small subunit ribosomal RNA", at positions 30 to 526 of the family's 1533-position model. The record is from RNAcentral.
AUUGAACGCUGGCGGCAGGCCUAACACAUGCAAGUCGAGCGAGCCGCGGACGUGUGAGUCAUGUAUGGGGACUGCUCUAUAGCGGGGGAUAACUACUGGAAACGGUGGCUAAUCCCGCAUACUCUCGGAUAACCCAUAUUGGAUUAGCUAGUUGGUGAGGUAUUGGCUCACCACUGCGACGCUCCCUAGCUGGUCUGAGAGGAUGAUCAGCCACACGGGGACUGAGACACGGCCCAGACUCCUACGGAGGCAGCAGUGGGGAAUAUUGCACAAUGGGCGCAAGCCUGAUGCAGCAAUGCCGCGUGUAUGAAGAAGGCCCUAGGGUUGUAAAGUACUUUCAGUAGGGAGGCGUUAACUACAGAAGAAGCAACGGCUAACUCCGUGCCAGCAGCCGCGGUAAUAC